RNAcentral lists this ribosomal RNA (1343 nucleotides) under uncultured bacterium. RNAcentral describes it as "16S ribosomal RNA". It matches the Rfam family "Bacterial small subunit ribosomal RNA", at positions 28 to 1378 of the family's 1533-position model. The record is from RNAcentral.
GACGAACGCUGGCGGCGUGCUUAACACAUGCAAGUCGAACGGAAAGGCCCUGCUUUUGUGGGGUGCUCGAGUGGCGAACGGGUGAGUAACACGUGAGUAACCUGCCCUUGACUUUGGGAUAACUUCAGGAAACUGGGGCUAAUACCGGAUAGGAGCUCCUGCUGCAUGGUGGGGGUUGGAAAGUUUCGGCGGUUGGGGAUGGACUCGCGGCUUAUCAGCUUGUUGGUGGGGUAGUGGCUUACCAAGGCUUUGACGGGUAGCCGGCCUGAGAGGGUGACCGGCCACAUUGGGACUGAGAUACGGCCCAGACUCCUACGGGAGGCAGCAGUGGGGAAUAUUGCACAAUGGGCGGAAGCCUGAUGCAGCAACGCCGCGUGCGGGAUGACGGCCUUCGGGUUGUAAACCGCUUUCGCCUGUGACGAAGCGUGAGUGACGGUAAUGGGUAAAGAAGCACCGGCUAACUACGUGCCAGCAGCCGCGGUGAUACGUAGGGUGCGAGCGUUGUCCGGAUUUAUUGGGCGUAAAGGGCUCGUAGGUGGUUGAUCGCGUCGGAAGUGUAAUCUUGGGGCUUAACCCUGAGCGUGCUUUCGAUACGGGUUGACUUGAGGAAGGUAGGGGAGAAUGGAAUUCCUGGUGGAGCGGUGGAAUGCGCAGAUAUCAGGAGGAACACCAGUGGCGAAGGCGGUUCUCUGGGCCUUUCCUGACGCUGAGGAGCGAAAGCGUGGGGAGCGAACAGGCUUAGAUACCCUGGUAGUCCACGCUGUAAACGGUGGGUACUAGGUGUGGGGUCCAUUCCACGGGUUCCGUGCCGUAGCUAACGCUUUAAGUACCCCGCCUGGGGAGUACGGCCGCAAGGCUAAAACUCAAAGGAAUUGACGGGGCCCCGCACAAGCGGCGGAGCAUGCGGAUUAAUUCGAUGCAACGCGUAGAACCUUACCUGGGUUUGACAUGGAUCGGGAGCGCUCAGAGAUGGGUGUGCCUCUUUUGGGGUCGGUUCACAGGUGGUGCAUGGCUGUCGUCAGCCCGUGUCGUGAGAUGUUGGGUUAAGUCCCGCAACGAGCGCAACCCUUGUUCACUGUUGCCAGCACGUUAUGGUGGGGACUCAGUGGAGACCGCCGGGGUCAACUCGGAGGAAGGUGGGGAUGACGUCAAGUCAUCAUGCCCCUUAUGUCCAGGGCUUCACGCAUGCUACAAUGGCUGGUACAGAGAGUGGCGAGCCUGUGAGGGUGAGCGAAUCUCGGAAAGCCGGUCUCAGUUCGGAUUGGGGUCUGCAACUCGACCUCAUGAAGUCGGAGUCGCUAGUAAUCGCAGAUCAGCAACGCUGCGGUGAAUACGUUCCCGGG